AUGAUAUGCAUUAGCUGGAACUGCCGGGGGCUUGGGAACCCCGAGGCAGUUCGUGAGCUUCGCCGGCUGGUGAAGCAAGAAGGUCCUGCCCUGCUGUUCGUAAUGGAAACUAAAAUCAGGGCUAAGAGAGUGGAGGACAUGCGAUAUCAAUUUGGUUUCUCGGGUUGUUUCGCAGUUGACAGUGUUGGACUAAGUGGUGGAAUUGGGCUUUACUGGUCCAAUGAUGUGGAUAUUAACCUGAAAAAUUACAACAAGAAUCACAUCGACAUUUCGGUGAGGGUCAAGGACCAAGCCGCAACGGAGUGGCGGUUUACUGGAUUCUAUGGUGAACCGCGGGUCGAAGAUAGGCAUCAUAGUUGGCGCUUUCUUCGGACCUUACAUGCACUGCCGCAUUCUUCAUGGUUGUGCAUGGGCGACUUUAACGAGACGCUUUUUGGUGAUGAACACUUCAGUAAGUCUGCUCGACCGGAAUGGCAAAUGAAGGCUUUUCGUGAAGCUGUUGAGGAUAUUUCCUUCCAAGAUCUUGGUUGGUCUGGAGUGGCAUAUACAUGGGACAAUAGGCAAAGUGGCACUAGUGCAGAAUCGGGCUUUAGCGCCGGUUCGUAA
This 606-nucleotide ribosomal RNA is filed under the name Triticum aestivum (bread wheat). RNAcentral's name for it is "partial small subunit ribosomal RNA". Lineage: Eukaryota; Viridiplantae; Streptophyta; Magnoliopsida; Poales; Poaceae. The record is from RNAcentral.